CCCUUAGAUGCUCUGGGCCGCACGCGCGCUACACUGGUCGAUGCAACGAGUUUCUUUCCUUGGCCGACAGGCCUGGGCAAUCUUUGAACAUCGAUCGUGAUCGGGAUAGAUUCUUGUAAUUUUUGAUCUUAAACGAGGAAUUCCUAGUAAACGCAAGUCAUCAGCUUGCUUUGAUUACGUCCCUGCCCUUUGUACACACCGCCCGUCGCACCUACCGAUUGAAUGGUCCGGUGAAAUCUCCGGACUGGCGUGAGUCGGAGCAAUCUGACAAACACCGGAAAGUUGAUUAAACCUUACCAUUUAGAGGAAGGUGAAGUCGUAACA
Molecule: ribosomal RNA, 324 nt
Filed under: uncultured eukaryote
Lineage: Eukaryota
Description: partial 18S ribosomal RNA
Rfam family: Eukaryotic small subunit ribosomal RNA
Source: RNAcentral